UCCUACGGGGGGCAGCAGUCGAGAAUCAUUCACAAUGGGGGAAACCCUGAUGAUGCGACGCCGCGUGAGUGAAGAAGUAUUUCGGUAUGUAAAGCUCUAUCAGCAGGGAAGAUAAUGACGGUACCUGACUAAGAAGCCCCGGCUAACUACGUGCCAGCAGCCGCGGUAAUACGUAGGGGGCAAGCGUUAUCCGGAUUUACUGGGUGUAAAGGGAGCGUAGGUGGCAGGGCAAGUCAGAUGUGAAAACCCGGGGCUCAACUCCGGGAGUGCAUUUGAAACUGUCCAGCUAGAGUGCAGGAGAGGUA
This 305-nucleotide ribosomal RNA is filed under the name uncultured bacterium. RNAcentral describes it as "bacterial SSU rRNA". It matches the Rfam family "Bacterial small subunit ribosomal RNA", at positions 337 to 659 of the family's 1533-position model. The record is from RNAcentral.